This 71-nucleotide transfer RNA is filed under the name Anolis lemurinus. Its description in RNAcentral is "tRNA-Ile". It matches the Rfam family "tRNA". From Rfam's summary of the family: Transfer RNA (tRNA) molecules are approximately 80 nucleotides in length. Their secondary structure includes four short double-helical elements and three loops (D, anti-codon, and T loops). The record is from RNAcentral. Lineage: Eukaryota; Metazoa; Chordata; Lepidosauria; Squamata; Anolidae.
GAAAAUGUGCCUGAAUCUAAAGGGUAACUUUGAUAGAGUUAAUAAUAGAGGUUAAACUCCUCUCAUUUUCU